Non-coding RNA from Acanthosepion pharaonis, 100 nucleotides. The record is from the annotation of a GenBank genome assembly. NCBI's taxonomy places the organism in Eukaryota, Metazoa, Mollusca, Cephalopoda, Sepiida, Sepiidae.
CAUUGAAAGACCGGUUCCCGUACGAUCCCCGAAGUUAAGCAGCGUUGCAUCUAGUCAGUACUUAGAUGGGUGACCGCUUGAUAAUACCAAGUGAUGUAAG